Molecule: ribosomal RNA, 253 nt
Filed under: uncultured bacterium
Lineage: Bacteria
Description: partial 16S ribosomal RNA
Rfam family: Bacterial small subunit ribosomal RNA
Source: RNAcentral
UACGUAGGGUGCAAGCGUUCAUCGGAAUUACUGGGCGUAAAGCGUGCGCAGGCGGCUUUGCAAGACAGAUGUGAAAUCCCCGGGCUUAACCUGGGAACUGCAUUUGUGACUGCAUGGCUGGAGUGCGGCAGAGGGGGAUGGAAUUCCGCGUGUAGCAGUGAAAUGCGUAGAUAUGCGGAGGAACACCGAUGGCGAAGGCAGGUCUCUGGGCUGACACUGACGCUCAUGCACGAAAGCGUGGGGAGCAAACAGG